RNAcentral lists this ribosomal RNA (253 nucleotides) under uncultured bacterium. Its description in RNAcentral is "partial 16S ribosomal RNA". It matches the Rfam family "Bacterial small subunit ribosomal RNA", at positions 524 to 776 of the family's 1533-position model. The record is from RNAcentral.
UACGAGAGGCCCAAACGUUAUUCGGAAUUACUGGGCUUAAAGAGUUCGUAGGCGGCCUGACAAGUAGGGGGUGAAAGCCCUCGGCUCAACCGAGGAAUUGCGCUCUAAACUGUCGUGCUCGAGGAACCUAGAGGUGAGCAGAACAGAUGGUGGAGCGGUGAAAUGCGUUGAUAUCAUCUGGAAUACCGGAGGCGAAGGCGGCUCACUGGGGGUUUUCUGACGCUGAGGAACGAAAGCCAGGGUAGCGAACGGG